UACAGAGGUCCCAAGCGUUGUUCGGAUUCACUGGGCGUAAAGGGUGCGUAGGCGGUCGGGUAAGUCUGAUGUGAAAUCUCACAGCUUAACUGUGAAACUGCAUUGGAUACUAUCCGGCUAGAGGAAUGGAGGGGAGACUGGAAUACUUGGUGUAGCAGUGAAAUGCGUAGAUAUCAAGUGGAACACCAGUGGCGAAGGCGAGUCUCUGGGCCGUUACUGACGCUGAGGAGCGAAAGCGUGGGGAGCGAACAGG
Molecule: ribosomal RNA, 253 nt
Filed under: uncultured bacterium
Lineage: Bacteria
Description: partial 16S ribosomal RNA
Rfam family: Bacterial small subunit ribosomal RNA
Source: RNAcentral